RNAcentral lists this ribosomal RNA (555 nucleotides) under uncultured bacterium. RNAcentral's name for it is "partial 16S ribosomal RNA". It matches the Rfam family "Bacterial small subunit ribosomal RNA", at positions 355 to 900 of the family's 1533-position model. The record is from RNAcentral.
UGGGGAAUUUUGGACAAUGGGCGCAAGCCUGAUCCAGCCAUGCCGCGUCGCGGGAAGAAGGCCUUCGGGUUGUAAACCGCUUUUGUCAGGGAAGAAAUCUUCUGAGUUAAUACCUCGGGAGGAUGACGGUACCUGAAGAAUAAGCACCGGCUAACUACGUGCCAGCAGCCGCGGUAAUACGUAGGGUGCAAGCGUUAAUCGGAAUUACUGGGCGUAAAGCGUGCGCAGGCGGUUUUGUAAGACAGAGGUGAAAUCCCCGGGCUCAACCUGGGAACUGCCUUUGUGACUGCAAGGCUUGAGUGCGGCAGAGGGGGAUGGAAUUCCGCGUGUAGCAGUGAAAUGCGUAGAUAUGCGGAGGAACACCGAUGGCGAAGGCAAUCCCCUGGGCCUGCACUGACGCUCAUGCACGAAAGCGUGGGGAGCAAACAGGAUUAGAUACCCUGGUAGUCCACGCCCUAAAACGAUGUCAACUGGUUGUUGGGGAAGGUUCCUUCUCAGUAACGUAGCUAACGCGUGAAGUCGACCGCCUGGGGAGUACGGCCGCAAGGUUGAAAC